GACCCCUUUGCGUUCCCCCACCGAGGGACCGGCCCCAUGAACCAGUCAGGAUCUACCAAGAUUGUAGGGAUCGCCUCUCGGACCGUCAGCCAAAGCCGAUCCCUAUCCCUGUCAACCUCGAAGACCCACGGGUGACACACCUGGGCCCCUCGCCAGCCCCCGUCCGCAUACCCGACGAGGAAGGUGUCGGGGGCUCGGAUACUUGGGACUUUUAUAAUUCAGAGACCCAG
RNAcentral lists this long non-coding RNA (230 nucleotides) under Prunus persica (peach). Its description in RNAcentral is "long non-coding RNA (PPER_LNC008603)". Lineage: Eukaryota; Viridiplantae; Streptophyta; Magnoliopsida; Rosales; Rosaceae. The record is from RNAcentral.